This 59-nucleotide transfer RNA is filed under the name Loxodonta africana (African savanna elephant). It matches the Rfam family "tRNA", at positions 14 to 71 of the family's 71-position model. From Rfam's summary of the family: Transfer RNA (tRNA) molecules are approximately 80 nucleotides in length. Their secondary structure includes four short double-helical elements and three loops (D, anti-codon, and T loops). Further hydrogen bonds mediate the characteristic L-shaped molecular structure. tRNAs have two regions of fundamental functional importance: the anti-codon, which is responsible for specific mRNA codon recognition, and the 3' end, to which the tRNAs corresponding amino acid is attached (by aminoacyl-tRNA synthetases). tRNAs cope with the degeneracy of the genetic code in two manners: having more than one tRNA (with a specific anti-codon) for a particular amino acid; and 'wobble' base-pairing, i.e. permitting non-standard base-pairing at the 3rd anti-codon position. The record is from Rfam by way of RNAcentral. Lineage: Eukaryota; Metazoa; Chordata; Mammalia; Proboscidea; Elephantidae.
AUUGGUUAAGCAUUUGGCUGCUAACCAAAAGACUGGCAGUUCGAAUCUGCCAGCCACUC